CCCUCCCCCAUGCACACACACUGCUGUGGACUGUAGUGUCACUGUUCAGCAAUGUCAGCUGGUCGUGUUACUGACGGCUACUUUAAAAGGUGUCCAUUGUGGAAGGCAUAUAACCUCUCAUGGGCUGGCGCUGAACUGCUGCACAGAUCUUACGUGGUUUGAUCACAUUGUUCCUUGUGGACUCGAAGGGAUGGGUGUCACCUCCCUGAGCGAAGAACUCCAGAGACAUGUCACAGUUGAUGAAAUCACUGAGCCUUUUCUGGAUGCUUUUGAAGAAGUGUUUCAGUGCACCCUAACUUCCCAUGAGGAAUCUAUUGGAUAAAGGGCUCCGAGUGCCUCACUUACCUGUGGAAAUGUGAAUAUUUCUUUGGUGCUUUCAUGGUGUUACUAGAAAUCCAGCUUGCUUGUUCCAUCUUCCUAUCAGCAAUUAAAUACGUGUAACAAACUGUA
This is a long non-coding RNA of Malaclemys terrapin pileata, 450 nucleotides long. RefSeq lists it as uncharacterized. NCBI's taxonomy places the organism in Eukaryota, Metazoa, Chordata, Testudines, Emydidae. The record is from RefSeq and is a predicted model, not a curated record. The transcript is spliced from 2 exons.